CCUACGGGCGGCAGCAGUGGGGAAUAUUGCUCAAUGGUGGAAACCCUGAAGCAGCGAAGCCGCGUGAGUGAAGAAGGAUCUCGGUAUGUUAAGCCUCAUUUGCAGGGAAGCAGCGAGACGGUACCUGACUAGGAAGCCCCGGCUUACUACGUGCGAGCAGGCGCGGUAAGACGGAGGGGGCAAGCGUUAACCGGAUUUACUGGGUGUAUAGGGAGCGUAGACGGUAUGGCAAGUCUGAAGUGAAAGCCCAGGGCUUAACCCUGGGACUGCUGUGGAAACUGUUAGACUAGAGUGCUGGAGAGGUAAGUGGAAUGCCUGGUGUAGCGGUGAAAUGCGUAGAUAUUAGGAGGAACACCAGUGGCGAAGGCGGCUUGCUGGACAGUAACUGACGUUGAGGCUCGAAAGCGUGGGGAGCAAACAGGAUUAGAUACCCUGGUAGUC
Molecule: ribosomal RNA, 441 nt
Filed under: uncultured bacterium
Lineage: Bacteria
Description: partial 16S ribosomal RNA
Rfam family: Bacterial small subunit ribosomal RNA
Source: RNAcentral